RNAcentral lists this ribosomal RNA (253 nucleotides) under uncultured bacterium. Its description in RNAcentral is "partial 16S ribosomal RNA". It matches the Rfam family "Bacterial small subunit ribosomal RNA", at positions 524 to 776 of the family's 1533-position model. The record is from RNAcentral.
UACGAGAGGUCCAAACGUUAUUCGGAAUUACUGGGCUUAAAGAGUUCGUAGGCGGCUAAGUAAGUGGGAUGUGAAAGCCCUCGGCUCAACCGAGGAACUGCGUUCCAAACUACUUAGCUAGAGGAAGAUAGAGGUGAGCAGAACUGAUGGUGGAGCGGUGAAAUGCGUUGAUAUCAUCAGGAAUACCGGAGGCGAAGGCGGCUCACUGGGUCUUUUCUGACGCUGAGGAACGAAAGCUAGGGGAGCAAACGGG